RNAcentral lists this ribosomal RNA (359 nucleotides) under Flavobacteriales bacterium. Its description in RNAcentral is "bacterial SSU rRNA". It matches the Rfam family "Bacterial small subunit ribosomal RNA", at positions 1 to 356 of the family's 1533-position model. Lineage: Bacteria; Pseudomonadati; Bacteroidota; Flavobacteriia; Flavobacteriales. The record is from RNAcentral.
UUACAAUGGAGAGUUUGAUCCUGGCUCAGGAUGAACGCUAGCGGCAGGCCUAACACAUGCAAGUCGAGGGGUAACAGGAAAGCUUGCUUUUGCUGACGACCGGCGCACGGGUGCGUAACGCGUAUGCAACCUACCUCAUACUGGAGCAUAGCCCUUGGAAACGGGGAUUAAUACUCCAUGGUAUCAUGAAUUCGCAUGUUUUCAUGAUUAAAGAAUUUUGGUAUGAGAUGGGCAUGCGUCCCAUUAGCUAGUUGGUGAGGUAACGGCUCACCAAGGCGACGAUGGGUAGGGGGCCUGAGAGGGUGGUCCCCCACACUGGUACUGAGACACGGACCAGACUCCUACGGGAGGCAGCAGUG